GGCACAGCCACUCGGCUGCCUGCAGUGGCAGUGGCUACUCUGACGGAUCAAACCCAAGGCCUUCACAGUCAGCCACACCCCGGGCUACUUCUGAGGGGGGCACUGGGCCAGUCUCAGGCUGGGGGUGCAGGGAGCACCCAGGAGGCCUGGGAAGAGGACGGAUCCUUGGACAGUGGGCUGGGACAGCAGGGCCGAAGCGGGCUGGGGCGGGAGGCAGGGUGAUGCCCAGACCUUACUUCUUGCUCUGGGCCCGGGUGCCCAGGAUGGAAGUUUCCAAUGACGGGGUCUUCUGUGUGACACUCCCAGCCGCAGCUGGCCCUGCAGGGCUGUACUGGCCCAGCCUGGACAGAGCAGGCCAGGGUCCAGGGCUCAGCCGCCAGGGUGUGCAGGACCAUGGGCUCAGCACUGCUGAGCCCCACUAGGGACCCGAGGCUACCAGGAGAGGGGACAGAAGGAGCCAGAGAGAGGCCCGAGAGGAACAUGGGCAGGCAGAGGGGAGAGGCCCGGCUGGGGACUCACAGCGAAGGCCAUGGUGCCAGCUCUGCAAGUGGCCAGCCUGGGGAUAACAGGGCGUCCCUCAUGGGGUACAGCGUGCUGAUCCUCGCUGGUGCUCUGGGGUGGCGAGGCUCCAGGCCAGGAGGGAGGCCAGGGCCCUGCAGGGACGGGCUCUGGACCCCUGGCAGAACACUGAGGACUCCGUGGAGGUGUGGAUACCCCUGCACCCUGCAGCCCAGGGAUAGAACUUGGGACCUUGUGCUUGUGAGGCAGGUGGUGGAACCACUGAGCCAAAUCCCCAGCUCUGUUUUUCUUUUUUAGAUGGGCACCACCCCUGUGCCAGGCACCGAGGGAGCCGGGACGGAGGCCAGGGAGGCCGUGAGGGCAGUCCCUGCCGCAUGGGGGUCAGGUCUGAGCAGGGCAGGGUCCCUGAACCCUGGCUCGGGGGAGGAUGGUGACCUGUGGCCGGGGUGGGGCGGAUAAGGCCCCAUCAAUCACCUGGGCCGGCUCCCUUGCCUGGGGCUCCUUCCAGCUGCCUGGGGCCUCCGGAGCCUGAGGGGGGUAGGCCCAGUGCCCCAGACGCCAUUCGGGGUGUGGGUGAGGGUCGGGGCCCUGAUGUGCACUGGGAACUGAGACCCGGGAGGGGCGGCUCCUGCCCCACGUCCCCCGGGUCUGAUGCCGCUGCAGCCUGGGCUUUGUGGGGGUGGCAGGGAGCCGGGAGAGGGGCUGAGGGCUCUGCUUCAGCUCGGUCUGUGGUGGCAGCGGGCUGGGCCUUUCUCGGGGCCUCAGUUCUCCGAGAGUGAAGUGUGACCU
RNAcentral lists this long non-coding RNA (1308 nucleotides) under Heterocephalus glaber (naked mole-rat). RNAcentral describes it as "lncRNA (ENSHGLG00100044400.1)". The record is from RNAcentral. Lineage: Eukaryota; Metazoa; Chordata; Mammalia; Rodentia; Bathyergidae.